Molecule: ribosomal RNA, 292 nt
Filed under: uncultured bacterium
Lineage: Bacteria
Description: partial 16S ribosomal RNA
Rfam family: Bacterial small subunit ribosomal RNA
Source: RNAcentral
GGAUUAGAUACCCUGGUAGUCCACGCCGUAAACGAUGUUCAUUAGUCGUCAGGCAUAGGCUUGGUGACGCAGCUAACGCAUUAAAUGAACCGCCUGGGGAGUACGGUCGCAAGAUUAAAACUCAAAGGAAUUGACGGGGACCCGCACAAGCGGUGGAGCAUGUGGUUUAAUUCGAAGCAACGCGAAGAACCUUACCUACACUUGACAUCAUAAUUAAGGAUCGUGGAGACACUUUUCGUCAGUUCGGCUGGAUUAGUGACAGGUGCUGCAUGGCUGUCGUCAGCUCGUGCUG